UAUUAGCGCGUCUGGUGAAUGCUGCUUGAGCAGAGGAUCGUUUCCCUUUUAGUUCUGUUAUUUCAGCGGAAUCCAUUUUCCUUUUGUUUGAUGAUUUUAAUGUUUGUUGAGGUGAAGUUUAUUUAGAGGGAUAUUUGACUUUUUGUCUUCCUCUUCUUUCUUUACGGCACCUCGGUUUAUAACUGUUCGGUUUUCUGUGGUUUUGUCCCCACCGAAGAGGGCGCUAGAAGAGCGAGACUUGGGUAUAACUCAGUGUCCAAAAUGUUUUGUUUAUUUUUCUCUCUUUACUUGUGACACGGCAGCAGGUUAUAAACCUGUGGAAAACACCGAAGUUGUGCUAUGCAUUAGAUGCCAUAAUUAUAUAAAUAACAAAUAGAAAGUCAUUGUAAUAUAAAUGAGCAAUCCAUAUAAAUACACACAAAUGCAUCCUUAAAGCAUCAGCAAAUUACUGUAUAAAUAUCUGCAGCUUGUAUAAAUAAUUAAUCUUUAAAGCAUUACCAACAAGAUCCAUAAACAUCAACAUUAGAAUGCACAACAGCUAAUUUGUAUAACAAACAACAGACAUUACACUUAAUCCAUUUCGUUACAUACACAACACCAGAGCCAUUACUACAAUUAUCACGUUCAAAGUAGCAGAGACAAGAACCCAUUUACAAAGCCGAGUAAGUGAACCACAUCUCCCAUCAUGCACUACUGGAAAUAACUACGACUACAGCCCCCAGAAUGCAACGCGAAUCAGGAAGCAAAGUGCAAUAGCGCUUCCAUUCAAAAGUUUGUCCCGUCAUCUCAGACAAGUAAACUUAAGCAUUAAUCGGAGGAUUAAAACAACGCACUAGCCAAGCGACCAUAGUGACAAAGUCAUUAACUUCUGACCAGUUGAAAAACAGCAACUGACGAUCAAGCAGUUAACAACAAACCAGCGAGAGAAUAUUAAACCCAGCACCUUACCGGUGAUGUGCGUCGCUCUUCCAGCAUGCAAUUGGAUUUUGUCUCUGUGCGUGCUCGCUCCCGUUUAUCAACACAUUUCACGGAAUAUUACCAGCCAACGGCAAGCCAAAACACCAAACCAGAUCCUGAACAUCGGCUUGGAGGAGUUUUAUCCUGUUCCUCUGUACGGAACAGCUUGAGCUCUGAGAUGUUGCUGUGUUUCCUCACAUGACCUGCUCACACAACAUUUCUACUGGAUUAAGACUCUUACAUGCCUUGCUCUUGGAGUGAUCUUUGCUGGUCCACUCCUGAGGAGGGAAACAGUGAUCCUGAAUUUCCUCCAUCUGUCUGAUUGUGGACUGGUGGAGAUUGAUUGCCAACCCAUUGAUUGAAAAUACCUGACUCGAAUUUCACCUUCAAAUUAACUGCUAAUUCUAGAGCGGGGGCGUGGUCAAGCGCCGGUCUGUGACAGGAGGGUGGAGUCAGGGAAGGUAAGUGGCAGAAUCACUUCACCUGAGAGCAAUUAACCUGUGUUUGUGUGUCUUCCCAGUGACCGCGCCCUAUAUGAGGAGGGAGAGUGAGAGCGGAGGGAGCUCUGCCCUGAACCAGACGCCGGUUGUGUGUGUCUGUCUGGCUGUUUGAAUGAAUUAUUGUUUAGCUGAAAAGUCUAGCAAUAAAACGCUAUUUUGGAA
Long non-coding RNA from Neoarius graeffei (lesser salmon catfish), 1619 nucleotides. RefSeq lists it as uncharacterized. Lineage: Eukaryota; Metazoa; Chordata; Actinopteri; Siluriformes; Ariidae. The record is from RefSeq and is a predicted model, not a curated record. The transcript has 4 exons.